This 760-nucleotide ribosomal RNA is filed under the name Rhodocyclaceae bacterium enrichment culture clone D25. RNAcentral's name for it is "bacterial SSU rRNA". It matches the Rfam family "Bacterial small subunit ribosomal RNA", at positions 1 to 759 of the family's 1533-position model. Lineage: Bacteria; Pseudomonadati; Pseudomonadota; Betaproteobacteria; Rhodocyclales; Rhodocyclaceae. The record is from RNAcentral.
AUUGAGUUUGAUCCUGGCUCAGAUUGAACGCUGGCGGAAUGCUUUACACAUGCAAGUCGAACGGCAGCACGGGAGCUUGCUCCUGGUGGCGAGUGGCGAACGGGUGAGUAAUGCGUCGGAACGUGCCGAGUAAUGGGGGAUAACGCAGCGAAAGUUGUGCUAAUACCGCAUACGCCCUGAGGGGGAAAGCGGGGGAUCGUAGGACCUCGCGUUAUUCGAGCGGCCGACGUCUGAUUAGCUAGUUGGUGGGGUAAUGGCCCACCAAGGCGACGAUCAGUAGCGGGUCUGAGAGGAUGAUCCGCCACACUGGGACUGAGACACGGCCCAGACUCCUACGGGAGGCAGCAGUGGGGAAUUUUGGACAAUGGGGGCAACCCUGAUCCAGCCAUUCCGCGUGAGUGAAGAAGGCCUUCGGGUUGUAAAGCUCUUUCAGCUGGAACGAAACGGUGCGCUCUAACAUAGCGCGCUAAUGACGGUACCAGCAGAAGAAGCACCGGCUAACUACGUGCCAGCAGCCGCGGUAAUACGUAGGGUGCGAGCGUUAAUCGGAAUUACUGGGCGUAAAGCGUGCGCAGGCGGAUUGUUAAGCAAGAUGUGAAAUCCCCGGGCUUAACCUGGGAAUGGCAUUUUGAACUGGCAGUCUAGAGUGCGUCAGAGGGGGGUGGAAUUCCACGUGUAGCAGUGAAAUGCGUAGAGAUGUGGAGGAACACCGAUGGCGAAGGCAGCCCCCUGGGAUGACACUGACGCUCAUGUACGAAAG